AUUGAACGCUGGCGGCAGGCCUAACACAUGCAAGUCGAACGAGCGGCGGACGGGUGAGUAAUGUCUGGGAAUCUGCCUGAUGGAGGGGGAUAACUACUGGAAACGGUAGCUAAUACAGCAUACCAUCAGAUGUUCCCAGAUGGGAUUAGCUAGUUGGUGGGGUAACGGCUCACCAAGGCGACGAUCCCUAGCUGGUCUGAGAGGAUGACCAGCCACACUGGAACUGAGACACGGUCCAGACUCCUACGGGAGGCAGCAUAGGGGAAUAUUGCACAAUGGGCGCAAGCCUGAUGGAGCAAGGCCGCGUGUAUGACGAAGGCCUUCGGGUUGUAAAGUACUUUCAGCGGGGAGGCGUUACCCGCAGAAGAAGCACCGGCUAACUCCGUGCCAGCAGCCGCGGUAAUUC
RNAcentral lists this ribosomal RNA (406 nucleotides) under uncultured bacterium. RNAcentral's name for it is "partial 16S ribosomal RNA". It matches the Rfam family "Bacterial small subunit ribosomal RNA", at positions 30 to 526 of the family's 1533-position model. The record is from RNAcentral.